GAGUUUGAUCGUGGCUCAGAUUGAACGCUGGCGGCAGGCCUAACACAUGCAAGUCGAGCGGAUGAAGGGAGCUUGCUCCUGGAUUCAGCGGCGGACGGGUGAGUAAUGCCUAGGAAUCUGCCUGGUAGUGGGGAUAACGUCCGGAAACGGGCGCUAAUACCGCAUACGUCCUGAGGGAGAAAGUGGGGGAGUCUUCGGACCUCACGCUAUCAGACGAGCCUAGGUCGGAUUAGCUAGUUGGUGGGGUAAAGGCCUACCAAGGCGACGAUCCGUAACUGGUCUGAGAGGAUGAUCAGUCACACUGGAACUGAGACACGGUCCAGACUCCUACGGGAGGCAGCAGUGGGGAAUAUUGGACAAUGGGCGAAAGCCUGAUCCAGCCAUGCCGCGUGUGUGAAGAAGGUCUUCGGAUUGUAAAGCACUUUAAGUUGGGAGGAAGGGCAGUAAGUUAAUACCUUGCUGUUUUGUACGUUACCAACAGAAUAAGCACCGGCUAACUUCGUGCCAGCCGCCGCCGUAAU
This 521-nucleotide ribosomal RNA is filed under the name uncultured microorganism. RNAcentral's name for it is "bacterial SSU rRNA". It matches the Rfam family "Bacterial small subunit ribosomal RNA", at positions 9 to 524 of the family's 1533-position model. The record is from RNAcentral.